This 253-nucleotide ribosomal RNA is filed under the name uncultured bacterium. Its description in RNAcentral is "partial 16S ribosomal RNA". It matches the Rfam family "Bacterial small subunit ribosomal RNA", at positions 524 to 776 of the family's 1533-position model. The record is from RNAcentral.
UACGUAGGGUCCAAGCGUUGUUCGGAUUUACUGGGCGUAAAGGGCGCGUAGGCGGCGCGGUAAGUCACUUGUGAAAUCUCUGAGCUUAACUCAGAACGGCCAAGUGAUACUGCAGUGCUAGAGUGUGGAAGGGGCAAUCGGAAUUCUUGGUGUAGCGGUGAAAUGCGUAGAUAUCAAGAGGAACACCUGAGGUGAAGACGGGUUGCUGGGCCAACACUGACGCUGAGGAGCGAAAGCGUGGGGAGCGAACAGG